RNAcentral lists this long non-coding RNA (203 nucleotides) under Chloebia gouldiae (Gouldian finch). RNAcentral's name for it is "Erythrura gouldiae (Gouldian finch) lncRNA (ENSEGOG00005002759.1)". The record is from RNAcentral. Lineage: Eukaryota; Metazoa; Chordata; Aves; Passeriformes; Passeridae.
AAAUCCAAACAGGCUCAGCUUGAAGAAAACAUUGGUUUCCAAUGCAGCUAUGAAUUAAGAAAAUAGAAAAGAAAUUUGAAUGCUUCUUCAGAAGAGAAAGCUUGGGAAAAAGAAAUACUGAGGAAGAGAAGGGCACUGCUGGGAAACCAUUUCAGGCUGAAGAAGCUCUGUAGAGGUCCCUUGCUUCUGGUCACAGGAUCAAG